CUGCCGGAGAUUGGCAGGGAUGUGUCAGCUGACCGGAGUUCGCCACGAACGGUUUGUGGCGAACCGUUCACGGCAAGUUCGCGAACGGUUCGUGACAUCACUAAUUGCAAACAAGUGGUUUUAGCAAGGACACAUGAAAAGCAUUAGGUAUAUGUAAGGAUGCAGAAAGGGCCAGAGAAUAAGAAACAGGGUUGAUUCUUCUAACCACA
Pelobates cultripes (western spadefoot toad) is the source of this 209-nucleotide non-coding RNA. Lineage: Eukaryota; Metazoa; Chordata; Amphibia; Anura; Pelobatidae. The record is from the annotation of a GenBank genome assembly.